AAACUCAAAGGAAUUGACGGGGACCCGCACAAGCGGCGGAGCAUGCGGAUUAAUUCGAUGCAACGCGAAGAACCUUACCAAGGCUUGACAUAUACGAGAACGGGCCAGAAAUGGUCAACUCUUUGGACACUCGUAAACAGGUGGUGCAUGGUUGUCGUCAGCUCGUGUCGUGAGAUGUUGGGUUAAGUCCCGCAACGAGCGCAACCCUCGUUCUAUGUUGCCAGCACGUAAUGGUGGGAACUCAUGGGAUACUGCCGGGGUCAACUCGGAGGAAGGUGGGGAUGACGUCAAAUCAUCAUGCCCCUUAUGUCUUGGGCUUCACGCAUGCUACAAUGGCCGGUACAAAGGGCUGCAAUACCGCGAGGUGGAGCGAAUCCCAAAAAGCCGGUCCCAGUUCGGAUUGAGGUCUGCAACUCGACCUCAUGAAGUCGGAGUCGCUAGUAAUCGCAGAUCAGCAACGCUGCGGUGAAUACGUUCCCGGGUCUUGUACACACCGCCCGUC
RNAcentral lists this ribosomal RNA (502 nucleotides) under Microbacterium sp. RNAcentral describes it as "partial 16S ribosomal RNA". It matches the Rfam family "Bacterial small subunit ribosomal RNA", at positions 897 to 1398 of the family's 1533-position model. The record is from RNAcentral. RNAcentral also lists the same sequence under 1 other name. Lineage: Bacteria; Bacillati; Actinomycetota; Actinomycetes; Micrococcales; Microbacteriaceae.